UGCUUGGGAAUUUGCCUUUAGGUGGGGAACAACAGUUGGAAACGACUGCUAAUACCGCAUAUUGUCUACGGACUAAAGAGGGCUUCGGCUCUCGCCUUUAGAGAAGCCCAAGUGGGAUUAGGUAGUUGGUGAGGUAAAGGCUCACCAAGCCCACGAUCCCUAGCUGGUCUGAGAGGAUGAUCAGCCACACUGGGACUGAGACACGGCCCAGACUCCUACGGGAGGCAGCAGUGGGGAAUUUUCCGCAAUGGGCGAAAGCCUGACGGAGCAACGCCGCGUGAGGGAUGAAGGCCUCUGGGC
RNAcentral lists this ribosomal RNA (300 nucleotides) under uncultured Gammaproteobacteria bacterium. RNAcentral's name for it is "bacterial SSU rRNA". It matches the Rfam family "Bacterial small subunit ribosomal RNA", at positions 114 to 423 of the family's 1533-position model. The record is from RNAcentral. Lineage: Bacteria; Pseudomonadati; Pseudomonadota; Gammaproteobacteria.